Myxocyprinus asiaticus (Chinese sucker) is the source of this 2293-nucleotide long non-coding RNA. RefSeq lists it as uncharacterized. NCBI's taxonomy places the organism in Eukaryota, Metazoa, Chordata, Actinopteri, Cypriniformes, Catostomidae. The record is from RefSeq and is a predicted model, not a curated record. The transcript has 3 exons.
AAGACUAACAGGAAGACUAAGAUUGGGGCUCCUGGAAUCCAACUCACCAAAGUUUGGGAAGAAAUAAGGAAAAACAGGUUUAGCAUGAGGACUUCAUCACUCAGUAUUCCGUCUGGUGAUUUUUUAUUUGUUGUGUAGAUUUAUGUCUUUAGCUCUGCUUUGUUGGGGUCAGGUAAGGUGUCGGUUUUAUAUUUAAUAUCAUUGUAGUAUGUUUAAUAGACAAGGAAUGAUGAGUAUAAAUUGACGUCAACUUCUGAGGGUGAAAUCAAAAAGUCAAAUCAAAUCUGGUGCAAACUUCCUAUACAAUUACACGUAUACAUUACAUUAGUGUGGUCUGAAAUUACAACCACCAAGAAUUGUCUAAAAGAUUUCUAAAGCAAUACUCCCAGAAUUAUUUCAUUAUUUUAUCAUAGGUGUUUUGUAUGACAUAAUAUGAUACUGUAUUUGUGCUAGGAAUUUUACCUACACUUUAUCAAGUUUACAUCCUCCUUGCAGAAUCUUUGGGAUGUUUUGCAUGUUUUAAAAAUAAGAGAGACCAUAAUUAAAAAAAUAAUCCAUAUUUUUAAUUGUGUAUAUAAAAAAAUGUAUACAAUUGUUUAAAACAUUCUUUAGUACUGCUCUCAGUUGUCCUGGCACGCACAUGGGAGGAAUUGAAAAAUAUACAGUAUAAUUUUUUUUCUCAAGAUGCAUAAGGAGAAAGGUGACAGUUACUUUGAAUUAAUUCAGUACACUCACUGAGCACUUUAUAAGGAACACCAGUACACCUACUUAUUCAUGUGAUUAUCUAAUCAGCCACUGUGGUAGCAGUGCAAUGCAUAAAAUCAAGCAGAUAUGGGUCAUGAGCUUCAGUUCACAUCAACCAUCUGAAGGGGGAAAAACUGUGAUCUCAAUGAUUUGGAGUGUGGCAUGAUUGUUGGUGCCAGACGGGCUGGUUUGAGUAUUUCUGCAACUGCUGAUCUCCUGGGAUUUUCACACACAACAGUCUCUAGAGUGUAUAUGGUGCCACAAAACAUAUCCAGUGAGUGGCAGUUCUGUGAACGGAAACGCCUUGUUGAUGAGAGAGGUCAGCAGAGAAUGGCCAGACUGGUUCAAACUGACAAAGUCUACGGUAACUCAGAUAACAACUCUGUACAAUUGUGGUGAGAAGAAUAUCAUCUCUGAAUGCACAACAGGUCGAACCUUGAGGCGGAUGGGCUACAACAGCAGAAGACCACGUCGGGCACUUUAUUAGGACCAUAGUGUUUCUAAUAAAGUGCUAACUGGUGGUGCAGGUUGUGUCUCUGCUUGACUAAUGGAAUCGUGGAUGCAGAGAUGCGAUCAAUCCAUGGUGGGGGGAUCUGCUGGUAUGGAUCCUACAGAAACAUGAAAAGAAGAGGAAAGUAAGUUGCUCAGCACAUAAUAUACUUUUAGUCUAUUAACUUUCUGUAACAGACAAUGACAAUAUUGAACUCACCAAUGUCUCCAACCUUAAUGUGAGCCAUUGUAUAAGUGUUACCCCUGGGAUGCCCACUGCUCUUUUCCAUCUGCAGCUGUUCUUUUAUUAUUACAUCUUGCCAAUCCAUUCAACAAAUAAGCCAGGUAGAUGUAGCACUGAUCAGCGUAAUUUAAAUUAUUACACAUUUUUGAAUAAUACUUUCAGUCACAUUCAUUCAGAACCAGGGGCGGAGCUAGGGGGUGGCCAGGGGUGGCCAUGAUGAUGUGCCACCACAGCCUGAUCGCUGGACCCUGCCCGGCCACCCCUGUGAAAAACUCCUGGCUCUGCCACUGUUCAGAACUAAUUUAUUUUUUCUGAUUAACAGGCCAGUAGAAUCACCUGGAAUCAACACUGUAAUCCAAUAUACAGGAUUUGGAGGGACCACAUAUAAGUCCACAGCAGAAUUCCAUAACUCCAUAAGUGAUGAAAGAAGAGGGACCAGCAACUCCUGCAAUACUGCAAAUGGCUCAUUUCUGUCUGGGUUUUGUUAUGACGGCUUCAGUGGGCCUUUGAAAGCCUGAGCUGAUCAGAAAAUGCAAUGCAUGUAUGUUUUGGAUGUCAGUAGGACGUUCAGCAGAUGUCUUUGAGACGUUUAUGAUUUAGAAUGUUUGUAAAUCUGAUCUUUUUAAGAUGUUUAUCAGAUGUUAAUUACAUUGUGAUGCUUUCCAGAUGAAAAGAUCUAAAACAGACAUCUCGGAGAUGUAUGUGUGCUAUCUGGGAUAGUACAAGACAAGUACAACAACUUCAAUUACAUCCAUAUUCUUGUAUAAUUAUUAUACAUGCCUUUUGUAUCACCUGAUAUUUAUUAAUAAAGUUUGU